Molecule: transfer RNA, 67 nt
Filed under: Marmota monax (woodchuck)
Lineage: Eukaryota; Metazoa; Chordata; Mammalia; Rodentia; Sciuridae
Description: tRNA.Ala
Source: RNAcentral
GGUUAUGGCCCAGUGGCAGAGCACUUGCCUAGCACGCAUGAGGCACUGGGUUCUAUCCUCAGCACCA